Molecule: ribosomal RNA, 756 nt
Filed under: uncultured crenarchaeote
Lineage: Archaea; Thermoproteati; Thermoproteota
Description: bacterial SSU rRNA
Rfam family: Archaeal small subunit ribosomal RNA
Source: RNAcentral
GGACUCCACUGCUAUCGGGGUAAGGCUAAGCCAUGCAAGUCGAAGGUCCCCGGCUCCGGGGGCCUGGCGUACGGCUGAGUAACGCGUGGCCAACCUGCCCUGCGGAGGGGGAUAACCCCGGGAAACUGGGGAUAAACCCCCAUAGGUGACCGGGUCUGGAAGGACCGGUCGCCGAAAGUCCCGGUCGGGGACGCUCCGGCCGGGAGCCGCAGGAUGGGGCUGCGUCCUAUCAGGUAGUUGGUGGAGUAACGGCCCACCAAGCCUGUGACGGGUAGGGGCCCUGAGAGGGGGAGCCCCCAGAUGGACUCUGAGACAAGAGUCCAGGCCCUACGGGGCGCAGCAGGCGCGAAAACUCCGCAAUGGGCGAAAGCCCGACGGGGUUACCCCGAGUGCCACCCUCGUGGUGGCUUUUGCCCGCUCUAAAAAGGCGGGCGAAUAAGGGGAGGGCAAGUCGGGUGUCAGCCGCCGCGGUAAUACCCGCUCCCCGAGUGGUGGAGGCUAUUACUGGGCCUAAAGCGCCCGUAGCCGGCCCGGUGUGUCCCUCGUUAAAUCCACGGGCUUAACCCGUGGGCUGCGGGGGAUACUACCGGGCUUGGGGGUGGGAGAGGCGCCCGGUAUUCCCGGGGUAGGGGUAAAAUCCUCUGAUCCCGGGAGGACCAUCAGUGGCGAAGGCGGGGCGCCAGAGCACGCCCGACGGUGAGGGGCGAAAGCUGGGGGAGCAAACGGGAUUAGAUACCCCGGUAGUCCCAGCUGUAA